This is a long non-coding RNA of Carassius gibelio (silver crucian carp), 946 nucleotides long. RefSeq lists it as uncharacterized. The record is from RefSeq and is a predicted model, not a curated record. The transcript is spliced from 3 exons. Lineage: Eukaryota; Metazoa; Chordata; Actinopteri; Cypriniformes; Cyprinidae.
CAAGUAAAGAAAUUUAACAAAACUUAACGUUGAGCAUAAAUUGGUUGCGGGUCCUUUAAGAAACUGUGUUUGCAACACUUGCUUUGAGGCACUCCCGCAUGUAUCGCAUGUGAACGUUUUUCAGAGUGAGCAGAGCAACAUAAGCAAACGGGUGCUCGGGUUUGGUGCCAUUAUCUUGAUUUUGGCAAGGACGUUUAUGGAUUUGCAUGUGUGAGGUGGAUCGGGUUUGAUCACGUUUUGGGACACGUGCAAAGACUGGCCAUUCAAGGUGCCAUCCAGCUCGUCGGGAGCAGCUGAGGUUAGGUGUCUUACUCAAGGACACUUCGACACUUGGUCAGAUGGAGCGGGGGAUUGAACCACCAACCUUCCGCAUUUAAGUUCCUGGCUGCAUCUGAAAACUGAAAAAUGCUGCCUUUGGAGGACGCAUUCCAAGAAAGGAAGGCAUCAAAGCACGUCCAAAUUUAAUGUUAGCUUCAGUUUCUGUCUCCUGAAAUGUCUUCAUCUGGCUCAUUUUUGAAGGCCUUUGAUAUUUCACAAUCCAGUCCCUUCUGUUCUUUGAAAGUUAAGCCAAAAAUUAAAGAUGGCAUCUGAAAGUUGCAGUCUGUGGUAUUUUUUUGUGUGUAAAUGUAUGUUUUUAUCAACAUUUUCCACUUUAUUUCUAGAGAGAAAUUAAUAUUGCAGUAAUUAAAUAUCCACUUAGUUAUCACCAAAGCUCUCGGUUUUGCUGAAGUUCGUUUAACUACUCUGCCUCAGAAACCUGUCCAAAAUCAGUUUCAUGAGGUGCCUUCGUGCAAAAAUGCUGCCUAUAAAUUAUUUGUCUGAUAUGGCAGCGAGAUAGCAAGUUACCCGCCUAAGUUUUUGGUCCCUGUCUGUGUGUUUCUCCUGUUGGAUUUACUUUGUAUGUACGUGCCAUUUCUUGUUCCUGUGUUCAGAGAAUUAAAAGACC